RNAcentral lists this ribosomal RNA (253 nucleotides) under uncultured bacterium. RNAcentral's name for it is "partial 16S ribosomal RNA". It matches the Rfam family "Bacterial small subunit ribosomal RNA", at positions 524 to 776 of the family's 1533-position model. The record is from RNAcentral.
UACGUAGGGGGCUAGCGUUGUCCGGAUUUAUUGGGCGUAAAGAGCGUGUAGGCGGCCAGGUAGGUCUGCUGUGAAAACUCGAGGCUCAACCUCGAGACGUCGGCGGAAACCAUCUGGCUAGAGUCCGGAAGAGGAGAGUGGAAUUCCUGGUGUAGCGGUGAAAUGCGCAGAUAUCAGGAGGAACACCGAUUGCGAAGGCAGCUCGCUGGGACGUUACUGACGCUGAGACGCGAAAGCGUGGGGAGCAAACAGG